GUUUUAAUUGCAGUUAACAGUGUAAAGGGUAAAAUAAACGCAAGUUCCACAUUACUAUUAAAUAGUUAUGAGUACUAUCACUUGAGCUUCAUAUUGCUGAAGUUGUGCGGCAGAUAAAGUGCAACCAAAUGGAGACGAGCGGAAAAGUACCCUUGUUUUUCCGAUUCGUUGCCCACCUAGUUGUUCUGAUCAUCAUACUCCACAAAACAAGCUAUGCCGGCCAUAAUAAGCAAAAUUGUCCACCUUCUUCCUGUGGCAACCUCAAUCGCAUUAGCCACCCUUUCCGUCUUACAACCGAUCCUCAAGACUGCGGAGAUCAAAGGUACGAGCUCUCAUGCGAGAACAACCUUCCCUUCUUAUACUUGCGUAUGCCUUACACACAUGAAAUCAGAUAUUACAAGUUCCAUGUACAGGCAAUUAAUUACGAAAACUCUACAAUUAGAGUUGUUGAUCCCGAUCUUCGGAAGGAUGAUUGCUCCUCCAUCCCUAAAAUUUCCAUUAGCAAAGACGACAUUUUGUUCGAAAAUAAAUUUGAAACAAAAAUCAAGUAUAAUCGCGUUGCUCAUGGUUGUUGGUCGCUGGAGUUCCCGCUCGAUUACAAUCUUAUAGAGACUGUACUAUUCUUGGCAUGUGAAAAGCCGAUGAAUAGUUCCCAUCUUUAUAAUUGGAUAGACAGAACUCCUCGCGACAAUAACAACUCCGCUUCGUCGCAAUCCAAAAGGCUAUACUCCUACGUUGUUGUCAAUGGAAAUUUAAGUUUCUCAGAUUUGGAAGAAUCAUGCCGAAUAGAUGCAAUGACUCUGAUAAGGAAAGGAAAGAAUCUCAACACAAGUUCCUAUAGAGGUAUCCACAAUGAACUUGUUUACGGGUUUGAGCUUUCAUGGUUACCGGGCUUGGAAAUGGAGAGUUUUAUAGACGGAUACAUUAGGACUUGCUACGUCGAUGAAGACUUCAACAAGGUCCGAUGCCUCACUCACUGCGGACGUUUCCACGUGCCAGUAAGAGGAUUCCUUGAGAUACUAAUACCACCGAGAAUCAUGGCUGCCAUGCUUGUGAUUUCCUAUUUGAUAUACAAGUGGAAAAGGCGGCAUCUAUCGGUAUAUGACGGCAUAGAGGAAUUUCUCCAUAGCUAUAGUGAUUUGAUACCUGUAAGAUACUCUUCAUGGGACAUUAGAAAGAUGUCCGGGGGCUUCAAGGAUAAAUUAGGCGAGGGAGGCUUUGGGUCUGUAUACAAGGGAAACCUUUCUAAUGGUCGCCUCGUAGCAAUAAAAGUGUUGGCCGGUAAAUCCAAGGCAAACGGGCAAGACUUCAUCAAUGAGGUUUCUACUAUCGGAAGGAUUCACCAUGUCAACGUCGUGCAGCUAAUCGGUUUCUAUGUUGAGGGAUCAAAGCGAGCUCUUAUUUACGAAUUCAUGCCUAAUGGAUCUCUAGACAAGUACAUUUUCCCAAAAUCAGGAAUAACUAAUUAUUCCUUAGAUUCCAAGAAAAUAUUUGAGAUUUCACUCGGCAUUGCUCGUGGAAUUGAGUAUCUUCAUCGAGGAUGUAACAUGCGAAUUCUGCAUUUUGAUAUUAAGCCUCACAACAUUCUCUUGGAUGAGAACUUUAUUCCCAAGAUUUCAGAUUUUGGACUCGCAAAAAUGUGCCCACUAGAAGAUAGUCUAGUGUCUUUAACUGCGGCAAGAGGAACAUUCGGAUACAUUGCUCCAGAGUUAUUUUACAAAAACAUUGGAGGAGUCUCUUACAAAGCUGAUGUCUAUAGUUUCGGAAUGUUGUUAAUGGAAAUAGCAAAUAAAAGAAAAAAUUUAAAUGCAAAUGCUGAGGAUUCAAGCCAAAUUUACUUUCCUUCAUGGAUAUAUGAUCAAUUUAGUAAAGGAAAAGACAUGGAAGUGGCGGACGCAACAGAGGAGGAAUCAAGAACAACAAAGAAGAUGAUCAUAGUAGCAUUGUGGUGCAUACAAUUGAAGCCUUGUGAUCGUCCUUCAAUGAACAGAGUCAUAGAAAUGCUCGAAGUCGAACUUGAAUCCCUACAAAUGCCGCCAAAGCCUUACCUAUAUCCGCAAGAGGAAGAACAAGAGAGGCACAACGUUGAGGAUGCUGCGGACAAAUCAUCUUCAUCAACAUUAUCAUAAUAGAAUUCUAAAGAGCCGAGUUUGGUCUCAAAUGCCCAUUAAGAAAAGUAGGUCUUCCGCAAUAUCUUCUUUAGCAAAUUGGUGUAUCAUGAAAGCCAGGUAGAGAGCGUUGCUACAAGAAUUGGCUCUUGAUUUUAUACGUAUCAACAAAAUGUCAAUUUAUGCUACAAGAAUUGGUCCAUGAUUUUAUUACGUAUCAACAACUUUUCAAUAGAUUGAC
Molecule: RNA transcript, 2349 nt
Organism: Morus notabilis
Lineage: Eukaryota; Viridiplantae; Streptophyta; Magnoliopsida; Rosales; Moraceae
Gene name: rust resistance kinase Lr10
Exons: 4
Source: RefSeq, a predicted model, not a curated record